GACGAACGCUGGCGGCGUGCUUAACACAUGCAAGUCGAACGGAAAGGCCCUGCUUUUGUGGGGUGCUCGAGUGGCGAACGGGUGAGUAACACGUGAGUAACCUGCCCUUGACUUUGGGAUAACUUCAGGAAACUGGGGCUAAUACCGGAUAGGAGCUCCUGCUGCAUGGUGGGGGUUGGAAAGUUUCGGCGGUUGGGGAUGGACUCGCGGCUUAUCAGCUUGUUGGUUGGGUAGUGGCUUACCAAGGCUUUGACGGGUAGCCGGCCUGAGAGGGUGACCGGCCACAUUGGGACUGAGAUACGGACCAGACUCCUACGGGAGGCAGCAGUGGGGAAUAUUGCACAAUGGGCGGAAGCCUGAUGCAGAAACGCCGCGUGCGGGAUGACGGCCUUCGGGUUGUAAACCGCUUUCGCCUGUGACGAAGCGUGAGUGACGGUAAUGGGUAAAGAAGCACCGGCUAACUACGUG
This 468-nucleotide ribosomal RNA is filed under the name uncultured bacterium. RNAcentral describes it as "partial 16S ribosomal RNA". It matches the Rfam family "Bacterial small subunit ribosomal RNA", at positions 28 to 507 of the family's 1533-position model. The record is from RNAcentral.